CUACACACACACUACAUAUACACUACACACACACACUACGUAUACACUACACACACACACUACGUAUACACUACACACACACACUACGUAUACACUACACACACACACACUACGUAUACACCACACACACACUACGUAUACACUAUAUACACUAUCUACUACAGAGAGCGAUGGGGGGGGGAUUCCGGAACAAGGAUAAACUGCAACAGAUGAUGUCACAGGUAGACACUUUCGGUCUGCCUUGGAUGGGCAUUAAGAAUAUGGCAAACACCCCCUUCAAAGCGAGGCAACGUAUCAAUCCCUGCCUGGACAACAAGAGGUUGUGCCUCUCUACAGCCAAUUAACUAAGUUCUUAGUUCUUCACCCCGCUCCCCCGGCCCGUCUGGAGGAGGAUGUCAUGGCAACCGAGAACACGCGAGGUAGUCGUACGAGUGUGUGUUUGUUUUUUUUGUUUUUUACACGAAAUAGUCUGUGGCCUGAUGACAUAAGUGGUAGUGUCUUGAAACACUGUUCUGCUCAGCUGAGUGGUGUCUUCUCUCUCUUCCAGUGGCCCCUUGAUAUACAUUGUUUCCAUAGAGACGGCAUUUCCAAUCUAUUGUUGUACCUGUCCCGAAAACCUCUCAUCCAUCUGCAUCAAAUGUGUAUAGACCUGUCUCUCUUAAAUCUCUUUUAAAUAAUCAACACCAGCACCAGACACCUUCUUGACCCCCUCCAUUUUGCACACCGGUCAGACUGAGAGGAGACUGAGGACUUGAUGCUAUGCUUAUCACACGGAUCACCAACUUCCUAGCUGAUAGGUCCCAGCAAGGUACGAGUUGGCAACACACACUCUGAGGUGGGUUCAACUUCAGUUGGAACCCCACAGGGCAGUGUUCUUUCACCAUUACUAUACAUACUGUAUACAGACAGCUGCCUGAGACGGUUCCCAGGGCGCCACCUGAUCAAAUAUACUGCUUUGGUUAGUCUUCUCGAAGGGGAUGAGACAGAGAGAGGACCAACUCUGAAUGAUUUGGCUGUCAUCCCAUCUAAAUUUAAAUACAUUCAAAAACAAAGGACACGAUCAUUUGACUUUGGAAGGAACCACCACUGAUAAAAGGUGAACCCAUUGAAAUAGUGAAGGAGUGCAAACACCUUGGGCUUGUCAUCAUCAACAAGCUGUCCUGACGCUAUUUUUAAGAAAGGCCAACAGACUGUAUUUCCUAAGGAAACUGCGCUUUAAAAAAAAAAAAAAUGUUGAUCUAAUCAUCAUGGUUCUAAAUUAUUUAUUGAGAUCAUUCUGUCCUACUGCUUGACCUGCUGCUUUGGGGAUAUCAAGGCUGCAGUGGGGGAAAAAAGUUUAAACAAGAUAGUCAGGACUUGUAGAAAAAUCACGGGGCAAGAACCGUCAUCUCUACCUGGGCAGAGCUCUCCAUAAGGUGAAUAAAAUAGAGGUUGACUCCUCCCUGAAUUCCCUCUGUCAUAUCUCUACCUGGGCAGAGCUCUCCAUAAGGUGAAUACAAUAGAGGUUGACUCCUCCCUGAAUUCCCUCUGUCAUAUCUCUACCUGGGCAGAGCUCUCCAUAAGGUGAAUACAAUAGAGGUUGACUCCUCCCUGAAUUCCCUCUGUCAUAUCUCUACCUGGGCAGAGCUCUCCAUAAGGUGAAUACAAUAGAGGUUGACUCCUCCCUGAAUUCCCUCUGUCAUAUCUCUACCUGGGCAGAGCUCUCCAUAAGGUGAAUACAAUAGAGGUUGACUCCUCCCAUUCACCCCACCCUGAAUUCCCUCUGGCCGCAGGUACAGACUCCCUGAGGUAAAAAAAAUAUAUAAAAAAAAUAUAAAAAUAGGGCCAAACACUUUUUUUAUUCCGAAUGCAAUUCUGCAACUUAAUAUGUUGACUAAUUGCAUAUAGCAACUCCACUUUGCCUAUUUGCGUGUAAAUAUCCUUUGCUCUUUUUUUUUAGAUGUGAUAUUACCUUUAUUUAACCAGGCAAGUCAGUUAAGAACACAUUCUUAUUUUCAAUGAUGGCCUGGGAACAGUGGGUUUACUGCCUGUUCCGGGGCAGAACGACAGAUUUGUACCUUGUCAGCUCGGGGGUUUGAACUUGCAACCUUCCGGUUACUAGUCCAUAUGUUUUAUGACUGCUGCAAGAUGAAUUGCCUCUGAGGAAAUGUAAAGUCUUCAGAAUCUGAAUGUUAUUUAUCAUCCCGUAUAACAGUGCCUGUCUCAUCUGGAGUGGCCUAGAGAAGUUAGGAUAGGUAAUUCAGAGAUAGCUAAGCUAACCAGCUAUAACUAGCUAGAUUAAUUCAGAGAUAGCUAAGCUAACUAGGUUAAUUCAGAGCUAGCUAAGCUAACUAGGUUAAUUCAGAGCUUGCUAAGUUCAUUCAGAGCUAGCUAACUAGCUAGGUUAAUUCAGAGCUAGCUAAGCUAACUAGGUUAAUUCAGAGCUAGCUAAGCUAACUAGGUUAAUUCAGAGCUAGCUAAGCUAACUAGGUUAAUUCAGAGCUAGCUAAGCUAACUAGGUUAAUUCAGAGCUUGCUUAGCUAACUAGGUUAAUUCAGAGCUUGCUAAGCUAAGUUCAUUCAGAGUAGGUUAAUUCAGAGCUAGCUAAGCUAACUAGGUUAAUUCAGUUAAGAACAAAUUCUUAAUGACAACCCACUGUUCCUAGGCUAACUGCCUGUUGUACCUUGUCAGCUCCGGGAUUUGAACUUGUAAACUUCCGGUUACGAGUCCAACGCUCUAACCACUAGGCUACCCUGCCGCCCCAAUUGAGGCCACAUGCUGCGGUUUCUCCCCAACCCCAUUCAGAUAAAACAGCCUACCUGCUGAUUUGCUCUUUGAAGCUUAUUUAUUCCAUCUUGCAUUGAAUUAGUGAACUCUCACUCCACUUGCUACAUAUUGACCUUCUUCGCCCAUUUGAUUGGCAACGUAAACAACAAGCUACACACGUGAAGGCUACCUUUGUUUUUAUGGGCCGAACCGUGCACGUCAUAACUACAUUGAAAAGUUUGUUUUAUUAAAUGUAGUAUUUUAAGUCAUUGUAUAUCCAAUAUUGCAUGGAUAUUUUUUAUUUCAUUUGGGAAAAGCAUUUUCAGUGUUAAAAAUCUGGUUUAAAGAAAAUGUGCUUGCUAAAAUGUAGGCCCGUUUAGAUGUUCAAAUAACCAUGCACAACCCUACCCAUGUACAACCCUACCCAUGCACACCCAUGCACACCUCUACCCAUGCACAACCCUACCCAUGCACACCCAUGCACACCUCUACCCAUGCACACCCCUACCCAUGCACACCCCUACCCAUGCACACCCCUACCCAUGCACACCCCUACCCUGGCUAGAAGAAAUCUGUUACUCUGAAAGAGAUGUCUCAAAGAGACAUAGGGGGAUCAACGCCACGGUGCAUUGAAGCUGUUCUGGAGGCUCGUGGAGUCCUAUUAAGACUCUUGAUGUUGGCGUUUCCUUUAUUUUGGCAGUUAACUGUGUGUAUUACAUACAGACACACCCUCUUUUUUUUUUAACAAUAAAUUGAUUGCAGAAACAAGAACCUCCUUUCAACACAUUCCUCUUCCUUU
Long non-coding RNA from Oncorhynchus keta (chum salmon), 3544 nucleotides. RefSeq lists it as uncharacterized. The record is from RefSeq and is a predicted model, not a curated record. The transcript has 3 exons. NCBI's taxonomy places the organism in Eukaryota, Metazoa, Chordata, Actinopteri, Salmoniformes, Salmonidae.